AGCAGCCGCGGUAAUUCCAGCUCCAAUAGCGUAUAUUAAAGUUGUUGCAGUUAAAAAGCUCGUAGUUGAACUUCGGGAUCAAUUAGUUGGUCAUGCCUUGGUAUGUACUGAUUUUAUUGGUUCUCACCUUCUAAGGAACUAUAAUGUCAUUUAUUUGAUGUUAUAGGGAAUUAGGACUGUUACCUUGAAAAAUUAGAGUGUUUGAAGCAGGCUCACGCUUGAAUACAUUAGCAUGGAAUAAUGAAAUAGGACAUCGCAUUCUAUUUUGUUGGUUUCUAGGAUCGAUGUAAUGAUUAAUAGGGAUAGUUGGGGGCAUUAGUAUUCAAUUGUCAGAGGUGAAAUUCUUGGAUUUAUUGAAGACUAACUACUGCGAAAGCAUUUGCCAAGGAUGUUUUCAUUAAUCAAGAACGAAAGUUAGGGGAUCGAAGACGAUCAGAUACCGUCGUAGUCUUAACCAUAAACUAUGCCGACUAGGGAUCGGAUGAUGUUGAUUUUUAAUGUA
This 502-nucleotide ribosomal RNA is filed under the name uncultured Glomus. RNAcentral describes it as "SSU rRNA". It matches the Rfam family "Eukaryotic small subunit ribosomal RNA", at positions 569 to 1078 of the family's 1831-position model. The record is from RNAcentral. Lineage: Eukaryota; Fungi; Glomeromycota; Glomeromycetes; Glomerales; Glomeraceae.